RNAcentral lists this ribosomal RNA (726 nucleotides) under uncultured bacterium. RNAcentral describes it as "bacterial SSU rRNA". It matches the Rfam family "Bacterial small subunit ribosomal RNA", at positions 94 to 823 of the family's 1533-position model. The record is from RNAcentral.
AGCGGCGAACGGGUGAGUAACACGUAGGUGAUCUGCCCAUCAGACGGGGACAACGAUUGGAAACGAUCGCUAAUACCGGAUAGGACGAAGGUUUAAAGGUGCUUCUGGCACCGCUGAUGGAUGAGCCUGCGGCGCAUUAGCUAGUUGGUAGGGUAAAGGCCUACCAAGGCGACGAUGCGUAGCCGACCUGAGAGGGUGAACGGCCACACUGGGACUGAGACACGGCCCAGACUCCUACGGGAGGCAGCAGUAGGGAAUCUUCGGCAAUGGGCGAAAGCCUGACCGAGCAACGCCGCGUGAAUGAUGAAGGCCUUCGGGUUGUAAAAUUCUGUUAUAAGGGAAGAACGACUUUAGUAGGAAAUGGCUAGAGUGUGACGGUACCUUAUGAGAAAGCCACGGCUAACUACGUGCCAGCAGCCGCGGUAAUACGUAGGUGGCGAGCGUUAUCCGGAAUUAUUGGGCGUAAAGAGCGCGCAGGUGGUUGAUUAAGUCUGAUGUGAAAGCCCACGGCUUAACCGUGGAGGGUCAUUGGAAACUGGUCGACUUGAGUGCAGAAGAGGGAAGUGGAAUUCCAUGUGUAGCGGUGAAAUGCGUAGAGAUAUGGAGGAACACCAGUGGCGAAGGCGGCUCCCUGGUCUGUAACUGACACUGAGGCGCGAAAGCGUGGGGAGCAAACAGGAUUAGAUACCCUGGUAGUCCACGCCGUAAACGAUGAGUGCUAAGUGU